CUCUUGAGCUCUUGUGGUGACCUGGGAAUCAAUGUGUGAGGUGGUGCUAUGUAGCAGGAACCCCUCUUGCUUUGCAAAUAGUUUUUUGUUUGUUUUCCUUUUUGCCCAAUAGAGCCCUGCUCUACUGACCCUUCAAUGUGCCCGUGUGCCUAAAUAUUCCUGGUCGUGUGAAAAGAACCCAGGUAUUAGCUGAACUAAGGAGCACAAUUCUGCAACAUUUUGGCACCCAAACACGGGGCUUGAGAAAUGAAUGCAAUUGGAGAAACUGGUUGUUUUACCAGGCGUUGAUUGGAAAUGUGUGCUUCCCUUUAAGCAGUCAAGCUCAACUUGCAGAACUGAUGGGAACCCCUUGGGAAAACUGGCCUCAAAUGUUUGUCUACACAGUCCACAUACAGGGUUCUUAACCUGCGAUGGAGUCUUGUUCUGUGGUCCAGGCUAGAGGGCAGUGGCAUGAUCUCGGCUCACUACAAGCUCUGCCUCCCGGGUUCACGCCAUUCUCCUGCCUCAGCCUCCUGAGUAGCUGGGACUACAGGCGCCCGCCACCACGCCUGGCUAAUUUUUUGUAUAUUUACUAGAGAUGGCUAGUGUUAGCCAAGAUGGUCUCGAUCUCCUGACCUCGUGAUCUGCCCACCUCAGCCUGCCAAAGUGCUGGGAUUACUGGCGUGAGCCACCGUGCCUGGCCAGCAUCCUCUAAUUAUUAUUCAUAGUUUGUGAAUUUAGGCCUACGUGAAUAAUAAUAUAAUAUUUACUAUGAUGUUACUAUCUACCAACCUUAUUUUUCUUUUCUAUAAAAUAGGAGCCAAAAUAAUAUUUAUGUCAUACCUUAUGAAGUUAAAAUAAAAUAUAACGAAUGAGGGGCUUAACAAUGAGUGUCAUUUUGUAAUUACUUUGUACCAUUAUUAAUUGCUGAGACAGAAUAUGGUAUCACUAGUCAUCUGUAUCUAUUGCACAACUUUAUUUUGAUUCAUUCCUUACUAUUUUGCAUAGAUAGGCCUAAAUUUUUGAUCCACUGCUCAACUCCUGUCUUUAAACCAUUGGUUCUCAAAUAGAGUUGAUUUUGACACCUAGGGAACAUUUGACAACAUAUGGAGAUAUUGUUGAUUUUACAGGGCAACCCUUCAUAAGCACAGAAUUAUCUGGCCCCAAAUGUCGACAGUGUCAAGUUCGAGAAACUCUGCACUAGGCUUUUCUGUCUGGUUACUCACCCCUCUUCUUUGCACUGCCCCCAGUUUUAUGGAUAUUGAAUUCCUGAUUUCUCACUAUAUUAAUUGCACUUAUAGAUAUUCUAAAUUGAUUUGUAUAUAUCUUCCUAGUUUGACCCAUUGCUUUUAACUGAAUUUUACUGGGCUUUUAUAAAGGCCAUUUCCAUGGAGUUUAGUCAUUAUCUUCACCAAAUUUUUAUUUGCUUCAGUCUGGGGAGGAACUCUAUAUUAAAAAAUAAAAACAAACCCAAAAA
RNAcentral lists this long non-coding RNA (1456 nucleotides) under Homo sapiens (human). RNAcentral describes it as "HSALNT0325734". The record is from RNAcentral. Lineage: Eukaryota; Metazoa; Chordata; Mammalia; Primates; Hominidae.